This 253-nucleotide ribosomal RNA is filed under the name uncultured bacterium. RNAcentral describes it as "partial 16S ribosomal RNA". It matches the Rfam family "Bacterial small subunit ribosomal RNA", at positions 524 to 776 of the family's 1533-position model. The record is from RNAcentral.
UACGUAGGGUGCAAGCGUUAAUCGGAAUUACUGGGCGUAAAGCGUGCGCAGGCGGUUUUGUAAGUCUGUCGUGAAAGCCCCGGGCUUAACCUGGGAAUUGCGAUGGAGACUGCAAGGCUUGAAUCUGGCAGAGGGGGGUAGAAUUCCACGUGUAGCAGUGAAAUGCGUAGAGAUGUGGAGGAACACCGAUGGCGAAGGCAGCCCCCUGGGUCAAGAUUGACGCUCAUGCACGAAAGCGUGGGGAGCGAACGGG